GCCUCCGUGGCGCAAUUGGAUAGCGCGUUGGACUUCUAAUCCAAAGGUUGUGGGUUCGAAUCCCGCCGGUGGUAC
This 75-nucleotide transfer RNA is filed under the name Theileria annulata. Its description in RNAcentral is "Arg transfer RNA (tct)". It matches the Rfam family "tRNA". From Rfam's summary of the family: Transfer RNA (tRNA) molecules are approximately 80 nucleotides in length. The record is from RNAcentral. Lineage: Eukaryota; Apicomplexa; Aconoidasida; Piroplasmida; Theileriidae.